This 114-nucleotide ribosomal RNA is filed under the name Trachurus declivis (greenback horse mackerel). RNAcentral's name for it is "partial 16S ribosomal RNA". The record is from RNAcentral. Lineage: Eukaryota; Metazoa; Chordata; Actinopteri; Carangiformes; Carangidae.
CGAGAAGACCCUAUGGAGCUUUAGACACAAAGGACAGAUCAUGUUAAACACCCCCAAUAAAGGCCUAAACUUAAUGAUCCCCUGUCCUAAUGUCUUCGGUUGGGGCGACCAAGG